AGAGUUUGAUCCUGGCUCAGAACGAACGCUGGCGGCAGGCUUAACACAUGCAAGUCGAACGCUCGUAGCAAUACGGGAGUGGCAGACGGGUGAGUAACGCGUGGGAACAUACCCUCCGGUUCGGAAUAGCUCAGGGAAACUUGGAUUAAUACCGGAUACGGCUGAGAGGCGAAAGAUUUAUCGCCGGAGGAUUGGCCCGCGUUCGAUUAGCUUGUUGGUGAGGUAACGGCUCACCAAGGCGAUGAUCGAUAGCUGGUCUGAGAGGAUGAUCAGCCACAUUGGGACUGAGACACGGCCCAAACUCCUACGGGAGGCGGCAGUGGGGAAUAUUGGACAAUGGGCGCAAGCCUGAUCCAGCCAUGCCGCGUGAGUGAUGACGGCCUUAGGGUUGUAAAGCUCUUCGCUCGG
RNAcentral lists this ribosomal RNA (408 nucleotides) under uncultured bacterium. RNAcentral's name for it is "bacterial SSU rRNA". It matches the Rfam family "Bacterial small subunit ribosomal RNA", at positions 8 to 442 of the family's 1533-position model. The record is from RNAcentral.